AUCAGUGGGUCGCAGCCCGAAGGAGCAUCAAGUUCUUACUUAAUAACGUUUCCACCAUCGCUGAACGUGCAGAUUUUAAUCUUUUAAUGAAGUCGUGGAUGAAAUGCAGAGCGAUUAUCCCUUCGAGUUCUGACCGUGUUGGGUACAGAAAGCCCGAGUCAGAGAAGAGAAAGGCAAAUAUAGACGUGUGGAAGCGGAAGUGGAAACUGUGAACUAGGUCAGAAAGGACGACUGAAGAACCAGAGGCAGAGGAAUGAUAAAACACGAUGAUAUGAGAGGCUACAGUCAGGGUAUUUUAGGCUAAAUGCUAUCAGCCAUGCAGACUUUUAGCAGGUACAAUGUCUCUGAACAGCGUGUUAGCAUGCUAGUCUUUGCUAACAAGCACAAAAUCAGUGCUAACGGUAGCUCUGCUAAACUCGCACGAGGUUUGUACACGUUGCUGCUGGAUUCAACUGAUUGUGUUUGAAGACAUGACACCCUCGUUAAGAUCUUUUUCAGUUUGACGUUCCUGUACGAUCCAGUUUCUCUGCCUUCUGAGCGAAUCACCUCACGCUGACCCUCAGAAACACUUCAAGCUGGGAACCAAAGUGCAGCGAGUAUCUGCUGGAAUGCCAACAAUGUGUGCGAGCUGUGUUAACACUCGGCUGCAGAACAUGUGGAGGAGCUGAAGCUGCAGAGCGGCGCAGGAUUCCUCCGACCGACAAGUGCAGACGACCUCCAAACAUCUUCGUCUUUGAUUCAACUAUCAAAAUAACGUUUGCCCUGACGCGCGCUGUGUUUGUGUUAGCGCCAGGACACACUGCACAGGAAUGGAAGAAACAAGUGGCGACGAACGCCGACUGCUGUGUCGCCUCGCGUCGACUGCGUCCCGGACAGAAAGCUGCACUUGAACACACCGCGAGGACUCCAGCCGACAACCAACCAAAUGUGCUGAAGUCUGAAUUCAUCACUCAGAAAGGGAAAUCCGUAGACUGUGGAUGUGCAAGCUGCUGUUAUGAUAAAGAAGCAGUUUUUGAUCAAAGUACACGUCUGAUAAAAAAAGUUGUAAAUGACAUGAGCACAUUAAUGGAGGUGAGAUCAUGGAUACGACAGCGACGAGCUCAUUCGGUGUUCCCUUUCUUUUUGCUGCUGCUCCGCUGAUUGUACGUGCACAAUCGGCCAAAAAGACGCCAACAAGGAAGACUAGCGGCAACGGUGCAGGACAAACCACAACGAUUAGAGCCACAGACGCUGAAUGACGGUCCAAACAUUGGUGUUUCCGGACCCUUAAACUCAAAGCAAAGCUGAUGGUGACGGGAAUCUGACAAAGCCAGAAUAAAGGAAACAGGGCGACGAAUAAAUCAACAAGUGGAGAUGAGAUAGACUCGAGUGUUGUAAGCCAACUUUCAUGGAAGGAAACUCUUUAUAUCGGUUCAUCAGAGUAAAAUAAAUCAACAUAACGCCUUCUCCCAAACAGAAACAUGUGCACAGACAUGAUGUCAGACUGAGUGAUGACGUGUCAAGAGAAAAGGGAGUUUCAGUCUGAUUUGUCUCAUUAAAAAGUCAGAGGAAAGUCAAACUAAACCCAGCGACAAGCUGCACCGUGAGGAUCCGACAUGAACGCCUUUAAAACAGCUAAAACUUUAUUCAGCCGAGCCGGAGCCUGCAUCAGAUAACCGGACUGUGUAUCUCUCUGGGACCACUUAUCAUCUGUUGUAACAGCACUGAGACUCCAGGCUGGCACUUUGUUUUCGCUGCUGCGCUGUUAUUGUCCGUGUCAGCAUAGUAAGACGGAUCGCAGGCCUUGGAGGGCUCCAGCUAUCUGGGUCUUAUCUGACGGGAGGCGAGCCCAGCAGCCAAGGCCUCGCGUCUGGACUGUGCUGCAGCUCUCACGGCGGGCCGGCUUCAUGUGUCAGACUCGUCAUUCCUAACAGAGUGCGAACACCGUCUGGCUGCUUGUCUCCACACGCGUUCAUCAUUCGUUCCAUAAUGUCGGAUCCCUCCCUCCCUCCCGCUCAGCUCCCGAGGAGGGCGAAUCCCCGGACAGAAUGACCUCGCUGCAGAAAAAUGUCCUGGUUCUCACAAGGAGACGAGUGCAGCUCACAACAAUCCCUGACCCAGAUUCAAGACAUCGAUCCCUAAAAACCUUUAUUCUAAUCAGGGAGGCGACGAGAGGGGGACGGGAAGGAAGAAAAGGUAGCAAAACAACCUGCAGCGUGAGGGAGGGGAGGAGGAAAUCCUGACGUGAUUAAAGCUGGCUUGUUUUUCCUGACCGGCUUAUUAUCACAUUCAACAAAAAGGAGAAGCCGAGAAGUUGGACUCAGGGAAUGUUGGAAAAAAAGUGACCAAUUAUCAGAGAAGUUGAGGAUUAAUUAAACAUCUGUUCCUGCUGAGCAGAGAGGUGGAGGCCUCAUCCAGCCGAACCCUGAAGGCAGAUCGUCUCUGAGCCGAGUCAAAGGGACGAAGUGAUUAAUGAGAUACUUUAGUUGGAAAAGGAAGGAAUUUGCCUCAAAAACAGGGGCUGCACAGACUUGAAGUGGAUGGGAUGUUAAAGCUCCUGAAUAUGCAGCUUCUUUUCUUUGAAAUGAAAGUGUGACGGGGUGGAGAGAUGGUUAAUGGAUGUAAACAACAGGAUGUGAGAGAAUAACAGUAGGCGUGAUCUCCAGCCGGGCCGCGAGUGUUUACCCUCAGCCCACAGCCGACGACAGGAAUACACACACGCGUUAAACAAACAGAAAUCAAAGCAGAUCCAUUACAAACCGGUUUGCAGGCCUUAAUUUCCAUUUCCUGUCUAACACCGCCGACCCUCGACCUCUUUUCGGUCUCAUUAACGCUUCACGCCUGAAUAAAAAGAAGUCCGAAGUUAUGCUGAGGCACGACAGGAAGCGGGUCAAAAAUAGAAAAUGUCACGGGGGAGAUGUCGACUUCACCGAGCGGUCACUAAGUCGGGCGUUAUCAGCGGCUCGCCGUGCUGAUAUUAGAGCGUGUGUGUGUGUGUGUGUGUGUGUGUGUGUGUGUGUGUGUGUGUGUGUGUGUGUGUGUGUGUGUGUGUGAAUUAGUAAUAGAGAUAAACAGAAGGCCUCAGAGUGAGAUGGUAUGAAACAGACCAGGAGGAUGACAAAUGGAAAAUGGUCUCUGUAUUUUCCUUCCAGGUCCCCCCUUCUUGUAAAAUCCCCCCCACAGUCUGGCUGGUGAGAUCCAAAAGGAAUCCCACCCCCAACACACACACACACACACACACACACACACACACACACACACACACGUAUAAACACAGAGUGGCACAAACUUUCCAGUCUCUGUCAUCAUGACCGAACACUCAGUACAACCCCCACUCUUCCCACAAAUAUCCAAACACACUGAACCCUCCAGAUGUUGCACAACGGCUCCUCUUCAGGGUAACACUCACACCAGCUACGAAUGACUCAGACAUCGUGCUUUUGUAGCUAUAAGACAUAAGAAGAUGUAGCUGGCAGUAAUGUAAAUAUAUUCAUAGAAGAAGAGGAGGUCAAACUGGGUGUCGCUAACUUCGGAUAAAACUCGGGUGCUGAGCAGGACGCAGGAACUUCGCUUUCGAUCUUAAAGAGUCGUAUCGUUGAUUUGUGAUUACAGCUAUGAUGUUAGCUUCCCGCUAACUUCAUGCUAACUCUCACACGCUGCACACUCGCUAACGUCACGCACGACCUAUGUACGGAGUUAUUCCUGAAGCUUGGUAAAACAACCUGUAAAUAUAUUUUUAAUAAAGUUCCCAAAGCACAUGAGCGACAGGAGUGUUUUAAUUAAUAACCGUAACGAUCCUGUGAUCAUUUAGAUUUAAGUUCAUUAUAAUUAUGGGUCUUUUAGCGUCGGUGCGACUCCACUUCCUGUCCCCAAACACAGCUGCAGAGAGACUGUUUGUGCCAAAGACAAGCACAGCUGCCUCCUGAUGUCUCUCGCCCUCUCUCUCCAUCCUGAGUGUGUAAACUGGGUCAGCACACACACACGCACACACACACACACACACACACACACACACACACACACACAUAACUUUUUCCAGCUCUCCACUGUAACACUGACUGUUCUUUGAGUACCAUCACACACACACAUUAGCAGACGGGGUAGUGAACUCCCUCACCCUCCUGCUCACACAGAUUUAAGUUUUUCCAGCUUUCUUUUGUGUUUUGUCUCCACUGAAUCUUCCUUUUCAUCAACUCUCACUAGAUUAAAUCACUUCACCUCGACAGGUUUCAUCUCCUAAUCACUUCAAACUGCUCCUGUCUUUAACCGAGAGCCUCUCGAGCGCUUUUCUUUGUGUUUAUCUGGAU
Long non-coding RNA from Acanthopagrus latus (yellowfin seabream), 4286 nucleotides. RefSeq lists it as uncharacterized. The record is from RefSeq and is a predicted model, not a curated record. The transcript is spliced from 4 exons. Lineage: Eukaryota; Metazoa; Chordata; Actinopteri; Spariformes; Sparidae.